CGCUCUUUGUUUAUUUAGUAUAAAGAGUCGAACCUGCCCAGUGAUUUUAUUUAACGGCCGCGGUACUCUGACCGUGCAAAGGUAGCAUAAUCAUUUGCCUUAUAAUUAAAGGCUAGUAUGAAUGGUUUGACAAGAAUAGUGCUGUCUCACAUAGAUUUUAUAGAAUUUGGUUUUUAGGUGAAGAAACCUAAAUAAUAUUGAAAGACAAGAAGACCCUAUCGAGCUUAAAAGAAUUUGUUUGAAGUUUCUGUUUAUACCAGUUUCAAGUAAAGAUUUUGGUUGGGGCGACUAAGGAACAUGAAAAGCUUCCUAUAAAAUUUAUAAACUUUUAUGUUUUGAUCCAAAAAUUUUGAUUAACAGAUUUAGUUACCGUAGGGAUAACAGCAUAAUCUUUUUUGAGAGUUCUUAUCGAAAAAAAGGUUUGUGACCUCGAUGUUGGACUAGGAUAUCCAGAUAGGUGCAGAAGCCUUCAAUGGUUGGUCUGUUCGACCAUUAACAUCCUACA
Molecule: ribosomal RNA, 505 nt
Filed under: Aretiana wolfi
Lineage: Eukaryota; Metazoa; Mollusca; Gastropoda; Littorinimorpha; Hydrobiidae
Description: partial large subunit ribosomal RNA
Rfam family: Bacterial large subunit ribosomal RNA
Source: RNAcentral